This 2721-nucleotide long non-coding RNA is filed under the name Homo sapiens (human). RNAcentral's name for it is "PRKCH antisense RNA 2". The record is from RNAcentral. Lineage: Eukaryota; Metazoa; Chordata; Mammalia; Primates; Hominidae.
GAGGACACAGCCAGCACAAAUGCAGAGGCAUACAAGUGCCUGGUACAGCUGGCAUGCAGGGAUGGCUGAGGAACUGCGGGGGCAGCCGGUGGGAUCCAUCCGAGGCAGGGGCACAGAUAGAAAGCUGCUGAGAGACUACACUCUGAGGUCAGCCUUGACCCUGAGGCUCAUCUGGCUCUCCCUGUUCCUCUACAGCCAGGCAAACAGGAUUCCUGCAGACAAUGCUCGGAUGAUGAAAUCUGAGAGGCUGGAUGACAGAGAAACCCACAUGCAUACACACACACUUUAUAAAGCUUAGGAACAAAAGCACUUUAUAAUCUCCUUCUGAUGCCAAGUUUACAGUGCUUCCAGAGUCAACAAAGGUGACUCAGGAGAGUGCACCCAGCUCCUUUCAGCACUUAUUUAGCUCAGCCACCUGUGUGAGCUCAAAGACAAGGGUGCCGACUUCACCUGAGUAGACCCUGAGUCACGUGAUUUCUUGCUGGAGAUGAUUCAGCAAAGGAGCACUAACCUCUGAGACAAGGCUUCAGCUUCCUGAGCUCUGCUGACUCGCCUGGGACUUCCCUAAGCCCUUCUGGACCUAGAUGAGGGCAAAACUCAGUGGAACCUCAGAAGCCCUAAAAAAAUGAUAGACUUUCUUUUGUCUCAUCAUUAUCAGCAUUUUGGGAUGAUUUAGUCAGCCUAAGAAACCUGAUGGCAUGUUGACACCAGAAAACAGGUAGUAUAUAUUCCCAAACCAAGUUAAAAAAAAUUAAGAAAUAACAGCUGGAAUGCCUUUUAUUUUUUCUUUACACAAAUGUGUGUGUCAUCGUCAUAUGCCUUUUUUGUGUUAAUUUCUGAGGAUCCUGCCAGUGUGAAUACUCCAUUCUCUGCGAGUCGCAGGUCAGGCUGCUUUUGAGGCAAGCACACGUUAAGUAUUGAGCAGAAACAUUUGAAGCAAAGAUGAGAAAGACAGAAGGGGAAGCAAGAAAAAUAGUCUUCCCAGUGUGCCUAUUUGGGUGCAUAUAAAGUUACUUUUAGAUGUGCGAUUACUGGUUAAUGAUUUGGGGAAUUCUUUUCAAGUAGAAAUCCUGGGCUAAAAACUAAGUGUGCUCAAGCUACCCCCGCACCCACUGAUUCUGCACUCCAUGGGAAAAGUUCUCACAAGCAAGUCCUUUGUCCACUACCCACGUCUAUAGGAAAUGUUUGAACAGCUAUACACAAAGAACUCACAAGUCCACAACCUCGGGGGUGUUGCGGGUGGAGAGGGCAGUGGUAAAGGUGAUGACAGGGAGGGCCUGUGGGGACAGUAAUAUUAGAUUAGUGGUCAGAAGAUGCUGGAGCCUGCCUUGCCAGUCACACACUUUUAGAGGAAUGCUGGACAGUACACACCCUCCCCAACCCUGAAUGUAGGCCCUCGCUGACAUCACGCCAGAUGAAGCCCUGAGGUCUUUAACAUCUGUAACUCUAUGGCAUGUAACAUAAACAGGUGUCUGACCAGUUUCCCCAGAUAUAGAAUAAUAAUAAUACCUUUCAUUUAAAAAGGUAAGAGGGAAUUCAACAAGCUUUCCUUCUUAAAUAAAUCUCCAUCUCAGGAAGCCAUGGAAAGAUGCCCCUCCCACACUAAGACUGUAGAGAGAGGCACUGUGAAGGUCUGGCUUGGAGAUCUCAGCUCUUCCUGCCUCUCAGGGGGAAAGGGCAGAUCCAGCAGGCCGGGAAAGGAUCUCCCAGGGUCCCAAGGAGGCAGCAUGGGGCAAAGUCCAACAGUGAGGAUUCUCUCCUUCUCUGGUCUCUUUUCUGUUAAAAAUGCUUCUUUGGGGUACCCUUCAUUACUACCCUGGAGGUUGAAGGACACUUCUUGAGAAGGCAUAGAUACUCUUCAGGUAUGCUGAAGAAAUGAGUUGUGCUAAAACCACUGGUUAAUUUUGUCUGUGGCAAAAAAUCAUGAGGGUGACAUAGACUCCCAGGCCAGGAACCCGAGACUGGAUUUAAGAGAUGUGGCCAGGAUCCACAGGGGAGCUUGUAUGUGGCUCACAUCAUUAGCUCUUUCUGUAUAUUUGUAUUGUAAACCAUUUCCCUUCAUUUGUGAAGAUGGAGAUCACUUUUUCUAUACAGGCUAGAAAUGUUUCUUCAUACACACACGCUGAGCUUGUUUAUAAAAGAUAUUCAUUUAUAUGGUGGUUUUAACAACUUUUCCAUGUGGAAAUUUUAGACGACAGUAACACAGACCCUCAUGUACUCAUCACUCAGCCUUGAUGGUUACUGACACAUGCCCAAUAUUGUUUCAUCUGUUUCUCCCCACAACUCCUGGAUUAAUUUGAAAGAAAUCCUAGAAGUCACUUAAUCAGCAAAUACUCCAGUCUGUUGGUCCACUCCUUAUACAAUAGCCAGGGUGAUCUUUUACACAUGAAGUAGUGAUUGCAUCACUCAUGCUUGCUUGGAAUUCUUCAAAGACUUACGUUGGCACUUCAGAUAAAGUGUAGACUCCUUCGCGUGACCUAGGAUGUCCUUUGGGCUCUCACUGUUCCCUCAGCCUCCUCACCUGAAGCUCUCACUGCCCCACCCCUUUGCUCAUCACACUCCAACCCGCCUGCCAUUGAGCUACUCAAAUGGACUGCUCCUUUCUCAAGACCUCUGCACACUUUCAAGCCUCAUUUCUCUUCAGCCUUUAUUAAAUGUCAUCUCCUCCAGAUGGCCUCCUUUGGUGGCCCAGGUCAUGUUAGAUCUGCCUGUUAAAUAAAU